Anas platyrhynchos (mallard) is the source of this 1496-nucleotide non-coding RNA. The record is from RefSeq and is a predicted model, not a curated record. NCBI's taxonomy places the organism in Eukaryota, Metazoa, Chordata, Aves, Anseriformes, Anatidae.
CUUACUUUCAUUAUUUAGUCCUUGCUCUAGGGUCUUUCCCUUCAGCUCUCAGUAUGUUGAAGUGCUUGUGGGAAUGCACACCAGCAAAGUGAGGAAGGAUGAUGAAAAAGAGGAACAAUAAAACUCUUUUGCUAAAACUUACUUUUUGUUCUUCUCCAUGCUAAAUUCAGGUUACCUAUACAAAUAACACAUUUUAAGAAGUCAAGCCUCAAGGAACUGUUAGGUGGAAAUAUGUUGUCUCUCAUAUAUCAAUACAGUUGGUUCUGUAAUGGCUAGAACCUAGAGGUCAUAACACAGACACAUUGGAAUGCUAGAUCCCAUUGAAGAAGCCAAGGCUGAGUUUGAGUGCUGAAAAACAGUAUAAAUGGGAAAAACGACAGAGGUUAUCCUGGAGAUGCUCAGACAGGAGACAGCAAAAACUAUUUAAAUGAUUAGUACUUAGGAAAUGGAAUUAUUUAGAAAGAGUGGCUGAAUCCUUGCCAAUUAAAUGGGUGUCAAAAGAGAUAAUGGUUAACUUGAUUGGAAAAGAGGUAAUUUCUUUAAAAUACAUUUGCUCAUCUAAAACAAUUACAUAUACAAAAAUUCAGUACCAAUUUUAGAAAACUAUCUCCUGUUAUGGUACAUUUAAUUGAACAGGUUUAAUGUUUAUGUCAUUACUUACGCAGAUACUGAAAGUUCAGAAAUUUUAGAGGUUUGAUUCAGCAUGAUGUUGAUGUUCUCCAACGAAGACAAUAAGAUCCAUUUUAAUGGAACCUUUAACACUAUUUCAUAUUUUAAAAGAACAACAAGAAAAAAAUUAAAAAAAGAAAAAGAUUAUACGCUGCAUUUGGAGCAUAGGGUGCAUAUAAAAACUGAAAAGGAGGCACAUAUUUUCUCUAACCAUUUUCUCAGGUUUUGGAUGAAGUGAAUUCUGUACUCAGUUGUUUGAGCAAUGUUUAUUUGUGUAUUGACUGCUUAUGAAUACUUCUAUUUUUUUUUUCUAUACUAAAAGGAGUCGUGUUCAAUGUCUUGUUAACUUGCUGUGUGAAGUGACCUGCAUGUGUUUUGUUGUGGUUUUUGAACUGAUUUAUUUAAAAAAGCCAGGUGAACAGAAAGUACUGCUCCUUUUCCAGGACUUUAUAACCAGGUCUUGUUAUCUGUGAGGGCUUUGUCAUCAACCGUUCCUACUGUACCAGAAAUGUUGUAGUUUUGAUUGUAUUGAAAGUCUUAUUUAUUCUCCUAUGCUUGCAGCUGCUGGCUGGGCACUGCAGACAGCAUUAUUAAAUUACUGUUAUUGCUCAGUAUCCUGGCAUGAUGAGAAACUCUGGCAGAGGUGUUGAUCAAUGAGAAUGCUUUCUCUUUAGAUACUGGCACCAAUGUAACUCUGUUUAGUUAAUUGGCAAGAUAUUAGAGUUAAUUGUAAGUAUAAGUCAUUGUAUUGCUACUAAUCCCUGCUUGCUUAAAGAGUCACUUCUGAGGUAAAAAUAAAAUAAAAUAAAUAAAAAUGUUCUGAACUA